GGACGCAAACAUAAUGACAUACCCUGACUCCGGAAACUCAGUUCACACAGUAGGGAAACAGUAGAGACAGGCGAGACAGUAGAGAGACAGUAGAGAGACAGUAGAGAGACAGUAAGAGCAGUAGAGAGACAGUAGAGAGACAAGAGAGACAGUAAGAGCAGUAGAGAGAGACAGUAAGAGCAGUAGAGACACAGUAGAGAGACAGUAAGAGCAGUAGAGAGACAGACACAAGACAGUAAGAGCAGUAGAGACAGUAAGAGCAGUAGAGAGACAGUAGGAGCAGUAGAGAGACAGUAGAGAGACAGUAAGACAGUAGAGAGACAGUAAGAGCAGUAGAGAGACAGUAGAGAGACAGUAAGACAAGAGAGACAGUAAGAACAGAGACACAGUAGAGAGAGACAGUAAGAACAGUAGAGAGACAGUAAGAACAGAGGGACAGUAAGAACAGAGAGACAGUAAGAACAGAGAGACAGUAAGAACAUAAGAACAGUAAGAACAGAGAGACAGUAAGAACAGAGAGACAGUAGAGAGACAGUAAGAACAGUAGAGAGACAGUAAGAACAGAGAGACAGUAAGAACAGUAGAGAGACAGUAAGAACAGAGAGACAGAGAGACAGUAAGAACAGAGAGACAGUAAGAACAGAGAGACAGUAGAGAGACAGUAGAGACAGUAAGAACAGAGAGACAGUAAGAACAGAGAGACAGUAAGAACAGUAGAGAGACAGUAAGAACAGAGAGACAGUAAGAACAGUAGAGAGACAGUAGAGAGAGACAGUAAGAACAGUAGAGAGACAGUAAGAACAGUAGAGAGACAGUAAGAACAGUAGAGAGACAGUAAGAACAGAGAGACAGUAAGAACAGAGAGACAGUAAGAACAGAGAGACAGUAAGAACAGUAGAGAGACAUAGAGAACAGUAAGAACAGAAAGAACAGUAGAGAGACAGUAAGAACAGUAGAGAGACAGUAAGAACAGUAGAGAACAGUAGAGAGACAGUAAGAACAGUAGAGAGACAGUAAGAACAGUAGAGAGACAGUAAGAACAGUAGAGAGACAGUAAGAACAGUAGAGAGACAGUAAGAACAGUAGAAGACAAGACAGUAAGAACAGUAGAGACAGUAAGAACAGUAGAGAGACAGUAAGAACAGUAGAGAGACAGUAAGAACAGUAGAGAGACAGUAAGAACAGUAGAGAGACAGUAAGAACAGAGACAGUAAGAACAGUAGAGAGACAGUAAGAACAGAGAGAUGGUAGAGAGACAGUAAGAAGAGUAGAGAGACAGUAAGAAGAGUAGAGAGACAGUAGAGAGACAGUAGAGACAGUAAGAACAGUAGAGAGACAGUAAGAACAGUAGAGAGACAGUAAGAACAGUAGAGAGACAGUAAGAACAGUAGAGACAGUAAGAACAGUAAGAACAGUAGAGAGACAGUAAGAACAGAGAGACAGUAAGAACAGAGAGACAGUAAGAACAGAGAGACAGUAAGAACAGAGAGACAGUAGAGAGACAGUAACAACAGAGACAUGGUAGAGAGACAGUAAGAACAGAGAGACAGUAAGAACAGAGAGACAGUAGAGAGACAGUAACAACAGUAGAGAGACAGUAACAACAGUAGAGAGACAGUAACAGUAGAGAGACAGUAACAACAGUAGAGAGACAGUAACAACAGUAGAGAGACAGUAACAACAGUAGAGAGACAGUAACAACAGUAGAGAGACAGUAACAACAGUAGAGAGACAGUAAGAGCAGUAGAGGCCAGUAGGAUGUGUGCCAUUUGGGACACGGUAGAUGAGGUUUCCUGACCUGGCUCUGAUAUUGGCCUAGAUGGCUCAG
Molecule: long non-coding RNA, 1828 nt
Organism: Oncorhynchus tshawytscha (Chinook salmon)
Lineage: Eukaryota; Metazoa; Chordata; Actinopteri; Salmoniformes; Salmonidae
Source: Ensembl